This 189-nucleotide ribosomal RNA is filed under the name uncultured bacterium. Its description in RNAcentral is "partial 16S ribosomal RNA". It matches the Rfam family "Bacterial small subunit ribosomal RNA", at positions 338 to 524 of the family's 1533-position model. The record is from RNAcentral.
CCUACGGGAGGCAGCAGUGAGGAAUAUUGGGCAAUGCCCGCAAGGGUGACCCAGCAACGCCGCGUGGAGGAUGAAGGCCGUAAGGUUGUAAACUCCUGUUAGAGGAGAAGAAUCGUACCGAUUGGAUCGGUAUUUGACUGUACCCUCAGAGAAAGCCCCGGCUAACUACGUGCCAGCAGCCGCGGUAAU